Molecule: ribosomal RNA, 253 nt
Filed under: uncultured bacterium
Lineage: Bacteria
Description: partial 16S ribosomal RNA
Rfam family: Bacterial small subunit ribosomal RNA
Source: RNAcentral
UACGAAGGGGGCUAGCGUUGUUCGGAAUCACUGGGCGUAAAGGGCGCGUAGGCGGCCGAUCAAGUCGGGGGUGAAAGCCCAGGGCUCAACCCUGGAAUUGCCUUCGAUACUGAGAGUCUUGAGUUCGGAAGAGGUUGGUGGAACUGCGAGUGUAGAGGUGAAAUUCGUAGAUAUUCGCAAGAACACCAGUGGCGAAGGCGGCCAACUGGUCCGAUACUGACGCUGAGGCGCGAAAGCGUGGGGAGCAAACAGG